AUUGAACGCUGGCGGCAUGCUUUACACAUGCAAGUCGAACGGCAGCACGGGUGCUUGCACCUGGUGGCGAGUGGCGGACGGGUGAGUAAUACAUCGGAACGUGUCCAGAAGAGGGGGAUAACGCAUCGAAAGAUGUGCUAAUACCGCAUAUGCUCUGAGGAGGAAAGUAGGGGAUCGAAAGACCUUACGCUUUUGGAGCGGCCGAUGUCUGAUUAGCUAGUUGGUGGGGUAAGGGCCUACCAAGGCGACGAUCAGUAGUUGGUCUGAGAGGACGACCAGCCACACUGGGACUGAGACACGGCCCAGACUCCUACGGGAGGCAGCAGUGGGGAAUUUUGGACAAUGGGCGCAAGCCUGAUCCAGCAAUGCCGCGUGAGUGAAGAAGGCCUCGGUUGGUAAGACGUACUUUCUAGUCGAGAAGAAAAGGACGUAGCAGUGAAUAACUAGUAG
RNAcentral lists this ribosomal RNA (450 nucleotides) under uncultured bacterium. RNAcentral's name for it is "bacterial SSU rRNA". It matches the Rfam family "Bacterial small subunit ribosomal RNA", at positions 30 to 485 of the family's 1533-position model. The record is from RNAcentral.